CUUAGGAUGGUUAUAGUUACCACCGCCGUUUACUGGGGCUUAAAUUCAGAGCUUCGCCCAAAGGCUAACCCCUCCUCUUAACCUUCCAGCACCGGGCAGGCGUCAGUCCGUAUACAUCGUCUUGCGACUUCGCACGGACCUGUGUUUUUAGUAAACAGUCGCUUCCCACUGGUCUCUGCGGCCUUCAACGCUCACGGAGUAAAUCCGGUCACGUGUCCGGCCCCCCUUCUCCCGAAGUUACGGGGGCAUUUUGCCGAGUUCCUUAACCACGAUUCUCUCGAUCUCCUUGGUAUUCUCUACCUGACCACCUGAGUCGGUU
This 319-nucleotide ribosomal RNA is filed under the name Bacillus pumilus. Its description in RNAcentral is "partial 23S rRNA". Lineage: Bacteria; Bacillati; Bacillota; Bacilli; Caryophanales; Bacillaceae. The record is from RNAcentral. RNAcentral also lists the same sequence under 1 other name.